Molecule: ribosomal RNA, 253 nt
Filed under: uncultured bacterium
Lineage: Bacteria
Description: partial 16S ribosomal RNA
Rfam family: Bacterial small subunit ribosomal RNA
Source: RNAcentral
UACAGAGGGUGCGAGCGUUAAUCGGAAUUACUGGGCGUAAAGCGUGCGUAGACGGUAGCGUAAGUCAGAUGUGAAAGCCCCGGGCUCAACCUGGGAAUUGCAUUUGAGACUGCUCUGCUCGGGUGCGGAAGAGGGAAGCGGAGUUUCCGGUGUAGCGGUGAAAUGCGUAGAUAUCGGAAGGAACACCAGUGGCGAAAGCGGCUUCCUGGUCCGACACCGACGUUCAGGCACGAAAGCGUGGGGAGCAAACAGG